Molecule: non-coding RNA, 2885 nt
Organism: Rattus norvegicus (Norway rat)
Lineage: Eukaryota; Metazoa; Chordata; Mammalia; Rodentia; Muridae
Source: RefSeq, a predicted model, not a curated record
UAAUUCUUACAGGUACCUUAGGAGAUGAAUUGUUUCCAUUUUAGGGAUGAAAAGGAAGCAUGGAGAAGUUAAAGAUUGUAUCCAUGGUUACCCAGUUCAGACAUGGAUUUGGGUUUUAAAGCCAGGUGCUCUGUUUUCCACACAUGUGUUCUUGAAUGCACACCCCCAACUUGUGGCACUGUUUAGAAGGCAGCGGAGCCUUGAGGAAGCAGGUCUGGCUGACUGGAGUAGGUUGCUGGGAAUAGACCUUUGAAGGUCAUGAGCCUCUUUGCAGUCUACAGUCACCGCUCCCUGCACCUAGGACUCAGCCACUGCUACAGGACUGACUCGGAGGGAGCCGUUUCCACUCUGAAUCUCUGAGAACUGUGAGCCUGUGAAAUAUAGGUGAGGUGGCUGUUCUUGGUUGUCAACUUGACAACAUCUGGAAAUAACUAAAAUUCACGUGGCUGGGCAUACCUGUGAGGGAUUUUUUUUUCUUAAUUAAAUCAUUUGGAGAGGAAAGACCCAUUUUUUUUUCUUUUUUCUUUUUUUUGGAGCUGGGGACCGAACCCAGGGCCUUGCGCUUGCUAGGCAAGCGCUCUACCACUGAGCUAAAUCCCCAACCCCGGAAGACCCAUUUUUAAUCUGGAUUUUUGGAGGUGGGAAGAUCUGCCUUUAAUCUGGCCCACACCUUCUGCUGGCAGCCUAAAUAAAGGACAUGGAAGAAGGAAGCUUACUGCCUUUGCCUGCUUGCUCUCACUCUCAAAGGCAAGUCCAUUCCUUCACUGGCAUUAGAACCUACUUCUUUGAGACUCUAGCGAAUACUGAAGAUCAGCAGAGACAUCCCGACUCAUGGACUGAGUGAGCUAUUACUAGAUUCUUGGGCCUUCCAUUGGUAGACAGCCAUUGUUAGGCUAGUCUGAUCACAGCCUGUAAGCCGUUCUAAUAAAUCCCAUAUGUAUUAUAAAAUAUAUAAAUAAUAUAUUACAAACAUAUAAAAUUGUAUAUAUUCAUUCUACAAAUUCUGUUCCUCUAAAGAACCCUGAUUAAUACAACAGGAAAGCUUAGAGUUCCUUGGAAUAAUCAUAUCAUGGGCUAACUGGCAGUCGGUCCCACACCUUCUGGAAAGCCUCCCUGAGCAUGCUGUGAAAGCUCUCUGAGGUCCCUGUAUAACCCAUGUAUCCUUAUAAUAACAUCGUUUUGCAAAUGAGCAAAAUGAGACCUUGGGAGGCUCGGGGCUCACUGAGUCAUGGCUCACCAGGGGCCAAUGAUGUGUGUUAACAAACCAAUGUUUUCCAGGCACACUCUAUGAAAUUCAGUUAAAAAUAAUUGAAGGAUUUAUAUAGCUAUCACGCCUACAUUAUGGGGGCUCACAGUUUCCAAGAGAUUUUAGUGGUGGAAACAGCUUUCUCUCUGGUUGUGGGGCACGACGUAGCAGUGUCUCUUUACAGGGUCAGAGAGCAGGGAUUGUAGACUGCAAAGAGACUUGAGUAUGACCUUGAGUAUGCCCUCUGCUCCCUACCUGUUGCCCGGAUCACACAGCACAUCAUUCAUCCAUGACAUGUGACUUUGUCUGUCUGAGCUAUAGAGUCUGCAUCCAGGAAACAGAAAUGGCAAUGUCCACCUCGCAGAAUUAUCAUGAGUAAGUGAGGUGACGUUUAUAAAGUUCCCUGAGUCAGUGAGAGAAGUGCAAAUAAAAACUACAUUGAGAUCCCAUCUCGCCCAGGUCAGAAUGGCAGCCUCCAAGAGCAAACAGCACAUACUGGCCACCACGCUGUUUGGCAAAAGGGAAAUCUCAUCCAUUGCUGGUGAGAAUGUAAACUUGUCCAGUCACUAGGGAGGUUCCUGGAAAUACUAAACAUAGAUUUACCAUGUGACCCAGCGAUAUCUGGAGAUUUAUCCAAGGCCAGAGUCAGCACACCAUCGAGAUAGUUGAAUACGCUGCUCUGUUCACGCACUUGUGAGACAGAAGAAAGGUGGAUUUCUGUGAGUCCGAAGCCAGUCUGCUCUAUGUGGGACUUUGGACACAGAUGAGUGUGAACCUGAGCCCCAAGAAGGCACGGACAAGCAUGAGAUUCUCUGUCUCCUUGCUCUGAGUUUGUGGAGGUGAAGUUCCGAGGAAGCUCUGCUUCUGGAGUUUUCCUGAGGUACAGUCCCUGCCUUCGCCAGGCCCUUCCUCCUCGGUACCCACAGUUCAGAGAUCACUGCCAGCACUCAGAAGAGUGUGAGCCAGGGCACACACACUUAAAACCUCAGCACUGGAGAGGCGGCGGCAGAGGACCAGGAUUUCCAGGUCAUCCUCCGAAACUUUACACAUCCGAUGACUGGAAGAGUUGGAAGGAUUUCCCACAGACUCCAUUAUUGUCGGUCUUUGAUUCGCCACUGCCCACAUUCCUGUGGCUCCUGGUACCUACCAUAGGGCACACUCGGAUCGGACCUCAGUUGGCAUCAACAGCUUUGCCAUCUUGCCGGUUCUGUCAUGGCAGUGUAAUGGUCCUGUACACUGUCACCAACCCAGAAGGAGGAGGUCUAGGAGUAUAGACAUGCAUCAUCGUGCCCAGUUUAUGUGGUUCUGGGGUUUGAACUGAGGGCUUUCUGCAUGAAAGGAAUUCUACUUCCAAGAAUCGGUCCUAAGGAAAUGAUGAGACAUUUAGGCAGCAUGACAUGUCUACCAUUAUUCAUGAAACUUGGAAACAAACUACGUGUUCAAUGAUAAAAGGUUCAUUUCAAAAUUCUGUGGUUGUAUAUUCUAUGCUGGCUAAGAAGACUAGAUAUUUAUGAAGUCUUUAAUGACCAGGAAAUUCUUAAUCUACAGUACUGGUAGCCAUCUACGUGCUUGACAUAAAAAGCAUAAGGAUAAGAAAUUGUACCUAUGUGUACUAAAUUCUCUAUUAUGUAAAUACUUU